CUUCUCUUUUAUUAUUUUCCCUUUUCACUCUUUCUCUAAAACAUAACCCUCCAUAACCAAAAACCUUCUUCAAAUCCCUUCCAUCCUUUGCAAGAAUCAAGGAAUGUAUCUCUCUCUUCCUCUUUUCUUUUGAUUUAUUUUAAAGGUAGGAUUAUUUUCCAUGGCAAACCCACUUCCCCAAACCCCCAAUUAAUUUCGUUUGUCAUGAAAGUCUAGCAUGUAACAUGUGAAAGUUUGUGGAUUAUGAUGUGUAAUGGCCAAAAAUUAAGUGUGGGGUGGUGUUGAUAGGUGGUUUGGAUUGAAUUGUUGGAAAAAACCCUAGCUUUCUAAGUGAAUGAAUGAUAAAUAUUUUUAUGAAUGCUAGUUAUUUGUCAAAAUGCCACAAAGAAAAAAAAAAUUGGUGCUAAGGGAAUGAAUGUUUUCUAUAUGCCCAGCGGUGAUUCUGUUGUGAGAAAUAACUGUUGGGUGUAGUCCUGUGCUGAUUUUUUUGUCAUAAACAGUGAUGGCCCCGAGUGCCAUUCGACUGCAACCCACACAUAUCGAAUAAAUGGGGUGGUCUGAAUCCUCUUUUCAAAACCCAAAAAAUUGUUGUCACCAUGAAUAUACCAAUGUCUUAAGUGUGGGGUGGUCCCUCUUGACUAGACAUUUGGCUAAAUAGUUUGUUUGAUUACAGGAAUAAUGUCUCAAAGGCCUAAACGAACAAAUACAGGGAAAGCUCCGGCUGCUUCAAGUAGCCGAGCUCGAAACAAGAGGCCUGCCCCAGUAGAGGAGGAUGACACGGUUAUUGCACCGCGAUUUGGGACAAUAGAACCACAUGGGCGCUACUGGUUCCAACAGUUUUGAGUCAGCCAUUGCUCCCACUCCAGAAGUAUCCAUUGAUGCGAAUAAGCUAUGAAUUAAAUUCCCGCAGAUCCAUACAAGUAUCUUUUCCGUGGGCUAUGCUCGUUUGGGUCAAAAAGUUGGCCCAACAAAUAUUGAUAUGGUUAAAGAGUUUUAUGCCUAUUAGGAGCCCGGUCUUUAUUAUGAAAAGGUGAUGGAGUAUGUCAUCCCAAUUUGGUGGAAACAAAUUCCGUUCUCAUACCACACCAUUAACCAAUGGAUGUGAUUCCUCGAGAAAAAUCAUACACCCUUUGAGAGGUUCUUGCGUAGGCGCCUAACUGUAGAGAGUUUCACAACACGUUGUGCGGGCGGGACUCUAAAGUUUUAUGGGAUAGAGAUAUAGAUGGGCGACAUAAGUCCUUGAAGAGGAACAACUUUGUGCUAGAGGCAAAAGUAAUGCUAAGGUUCGUCAGCUGUCGGAUCAUGCCAACGACAAAUGAUACUAAGGUGUCCAAAUUGAGGUGUUGUUUGGUCUAUUUUCUCUUGAACAAUAUGGACCUAAACAUGGGCAAGGUUUUGUUGGUAGAGAUGGAAAAAAUAAGGAAUCAGGGAAAGGGGAGACUUCUCUACCCCAGCAUGGUGACCAGUAUCUUGUGUCGGAUGUUCGAUGUGUUGACCAAUACGGGAGUCGAUUUCGAGAUACCCCGAUCAGAUAAGUCGACAACUGCCUUGAGCAGUCAGUGAGGAUGUUGUUUGCUAACUUGAAGCUGAGAAUAAAGCGGGGGGAGGCAAGCAUGGAUGAGCUACAGCAGAUGGCUCCACUAGAAUCCACCACCACUACUAAAAAAAUAGGAUUUCCCGACCUCAAUUGAGGUCGGACAAAAACCGACCUCAUGAGGUCGGUAAAGACGUAAUAUUUAUUUAUCAAUUUUUUUUUAAAAUAAAUCGACCUCAUGAGGUAGGUAAUUUUGUAUCAAAAUUUGAAAAAAUAAUGUACCGACCUCAGUAGGUCGGUAAUUUAAUAAAAAAAUCUGAUCAAUUCAUUUAUUAAAUUUAUCGACCUCAUGAAGUCGGUAAAUUUAAUAAAAAUCUAAACCUUCCUUCUUCUUUUACCUCAUUUUUACUUUUGUCGUACUCUUAAAAAUCUAAACCCCCGUCUCUCUCUCUUUCCCUUUCUCCACCGCCCUACCCUCGCCCACAUCGCCGCUAGCCAGAUCUGUCACCACCCAGCCAGGUCCGGCAUCCAGUACGCCGUCGCCAACAUCUAUUCCAGGAAGGAUUCGCAUUCUCCCAUUGUACAACUUUCAAAGCUCCCUAUUACUUGAGAGUUCAUGUUCCUGCUGAUAGAAAGUGGAGAACUUUAAAGUUCCGAUUCUUUGUGACUAGAGACAUUUUGUUCAUCUUUCUCACAGUUCAACUUGUUAUAUCAUUACUGGGAUAUUUAGUUUAUUUGAUUGACACCCACCAUAAGUCUUGGUUGCGUUUGACUUGGGGGUUUGAUAGCAAACUAAGUUUCUACUACUUAUGCGGAUCCAUUAAAAGAAACUCCAGAUAAUGACAGCCAAUCACCGGAAGUAACCUCAAAAGCUGCAACUAUUGGGCAUGAAGCCAAGGAAAGUCCAAAGUAGUUGAUAGAGAAGCUAUCAGCUGCUCUAGUUAAUGUUAGUGCAAAAGAAGACUUAGUUAAGCAGCAUGCUAAAGUGGCAGAAGAAGCUGUUGCAGGUUGGGAAAAGUCAGAAAAUGAGGUUGCAGUUCUAAAGCAGGAACUUGAGGCAGCUGAGCAGCAGAACUUGACUUUGGAUGUUCGCGUCAACCAUCUUAAUGUUUGCGAGGGGUGAAGUAGUCUAAUGUUGUAGACUAACUUAAUGUAGACUAGUUUAAUGUUUUGUGAAUGUUUACAAAUGUUGAAGUAGUUUAAUGUUGUUUUGAUGUUUGCAAAGGUUGAAGUAGCUUAAGUCUCUUGUGAAUGUUUGAUUGAUGUUUUUAUUCAACUUUGAAGUAGUUUCAAAUUGAAUUUGAUGUAUUGGUGGUUGUAGUAUAUGUGUUGUAAUAGUAGUUUAAUGUUUUAUGUA
Lycium barbarum (goji berry) is the source of this 2891-nucleotide long non-coding RNA. RefSeq lists it as uncharacterized. The transcript is spliced from 5 exons. NCBI's taxonomy places the organism in Eukaryota, Viridiplantae, Streptophyta, Magnoliopsida, Solanales, Solanaceae. The record is from RefSeq and is a predicted model, not a curated record.